Molecule: ribosomal RNA, 454 nt
Filed under: uncultured bacterium
Lineage: Bacteria
Description: partial 16S ribosomal RNA
Rfam family: Bacterial small subunit ribosomal RNA
Source: RNAcentral
GACGAACGCUGACAGAAUGCUUAACACAUGCAAGUCUACUUGAACUUCGGUUUGGGUGGCGGACGGGUGAGUAACGCGUAAAGAACUUGCCUCACAGAUAGGGACAACAUUUGGAAACGAAUGCUAAUACCUGAUAUUAUGAUUUUAGGGCAUCCUAGAAUUAUGAAAGCUAUAUGCACUGUGAGAGAGCUUUGCGUCCCAUUAGCUAGUUGGAGAGGUAACGGCUCACCAAGGCGAUGAUGGGUAGCCGGCCUGAGAGGGUGAUCGGCCACAAGGGGACUGAGACACGGCCCUUACUCCUACGGGAGGCAGCAGUGGGGAAUAUUGGACAAUGGACCAAGAGUCUGAUCCAGCAAUUCUGUGUGCACGAUGAAGUUUUUCGGAAUGUAAAGUGCUUUCAGUUGGGAAGAAAAAAAUGACGGUACCAACAGAAGAAGUGACGGCUAAAUACGUG